RNAcentral lists this long non-coding RNA (447 nucleotides) under Homo sapiens (human). RNAcentral's name for it is "HSALNT0397309". The record is from RNAcentral. Lineage: Eukaryota; Metazoa; Chordata; Mammalia; Primates; Hominidae.
AUUUAGCUGUGUAAACACAGAGCUUCAGUGGCAGCACCCUAAAUGCUUAGCUGAUAGAUCCGGAAUUAAAUACAGACCUAGAAACUGGAGUUGGAAAACUUCCUGGCAGCACUCCUUCCCUGCCAUCCCGGUGAUCCCCUUCUGGAUGGAGGGUGUGGAGCUCAGCACAUUCACGUCUGCAGCACAAGAAUGGAAUAGUACAGUGGCUACGAACACAGAAACCACACUCCAGGCCCAGUCCCCGGCAGUGGCCUCCAGGACCCACUCUGAGCUAGAUCACAUCAGUGAUGGGCUGGCCAAUCUUUAAGGAGAAUGACUCUACUCUUAGGAAGCCAGCAGGUUGGAGGAGGAAACACAUUCAAAUCCCGAGCACAAGGAGCUGGGAGAAGACCGGUUAUGGGAGCGGCAUUCCUGGAAGCUCUGAAGUCACAGCCCCACUGAUGAAAG